RNAcentral lists this ribosomal RNA (474 nucleotides) under uncultured bacterium. RNAcentral's name for it is "bacterial SSU rRNA". It matches the Rfam family "Bacterial small subunit ribosomal RNA", at positions 335 to 800 of the family's 1533-position model. The record is from RNAcentral.
ACUCCUACGGGAGGCAGCAGUGGGGAAUAUUGGACAAUGGGGGAAACCCUGAUCCAGCCAUGCCGCGUGUGUGAAGAAGGCCUUCGGGUUGUAAAGCACUUUCAGUGGGGAGGAAAGGUUGAUGGUUAAUACCUAUCAGCUGUGACGUUACCCACAGAAGAAGCACCGGCUAACUCCGUGCCAGCAGCCGCGGUAAUACGGAGGGUGCAAGCGUUAUCCGGAUUCACUGGGUUUAAAGGGUGCGUAGGCGGGCAUGUAAGUCAGUGGUGAAAUCCUGGAGCUUAACUCCAGAACUGCCAUUGAUACUAUAUGUCUUGAAUUUCCUGGAGGUUAGCGGAAUAUGUCAUGUAGCGGUGAAAUGCUUAGAUAUGACAUAGAACACCUAUUGCGAAGGCAGCUGACUACGGGUAGAUUGACGCUGAGGCACGAAAGCGUGGGGAUCAAACAGGAUUAGAUACCCUGGUAGGAUAGCGU